Molecule: microRNA precursor, 56 nt
Filed under: Pongo abelii (Sumatran orangutan)
Lineage: Eukaryota; Metazoa; Chordata; Mammalia; Primates; Hominidae
Also listed under: 1 other name
Description: Pab-Mir-430-P9b_pre stem-loop
Source: RNAcentral
UCAAAACUGAGGGGCAUUUUCUGUGGUUUGAAAGGAAAGUGCACCCAGUUUUGGGG